Molecule: long non-coding RNA, 226 nt
Filed under: Salvia miltiorrhiza (redroot sage)
Lineage: Eukaryota; Viridiplantae; Streptophyta; Magnoliopsida; Lamiales; Lamiaceae
Description: long non-coding RNA (SMIL_LNC004450)
Source: RNAcentral
UGAUUAGUGUAAGUAGUUUUGAAAUUUGUUGGUGCUCUGAUUGAGCGUGCUAGAAACCCUAGGUUUUGCAUAUUCUGAUAAUGGCCUCCACUUCCGCUCCCCAACCCUCGCGAUCGCUUUCUCCUUCUCCCCAUGCUUCUUCAUCUUCUUCUUCCCAGCCCCAAGGUCUCGAAAACCUUCCUUCCCCCUCUGCCUCUCACGAUUCCCAAGCUACUCCGAGUCCUUC